Molecule: ribosomal RNA, 442 nt
Filed under: uncultured bacterium
Lineage: Bacteria
Description: partial 16S ribosomal RNA
Rfam family: Bacterial small subunit ribosomal RNA
Source: RNAcentral
CCUACGGGUGGCAGCAGUGGGGAAUAUUUGGCAAUGGGCGCAAGCCUGACCCAGCAACGCCGCGUGAAGGAAGAAGGCUUUCGGGUUGUAAACUUCUUUUCUCAGGGACGAAGCAAGUGACGGUACCUGAGGAAUAAGCCACGGCUAACUACGUGCCAGCAGCCGCGGUAAUACGUAGGUGGCAAGCGUUAUCCGGAUUUACUGGGUGAAAAGGGCUUGUUGGCGGGAAAGCAAGUCAGAUGUAAAAACCAUGGGCUAAACCUGUGGCCUGAUUUUGAAACUGUUUUUAUUGAGGACUGGGAAGGAAGACGGAAGUCUAGUGUAGCGGUGAAAUGCGUAGAUAUUAGGAGGAACACCAGUGGCGAAGGCGGUCUGCUGGACAGCAACUGACGCUGAGGCGCGAAAGCGUGGGGAGCAAACAGGAUUAGAUACCCCAGUAGUC